CAGCUACAACGCGGCAGGCUUGGUGGUUGACCUGGAGUGCACUCCGCUCGGUUUACAACCUGGGCAGCCUGCCCGUUGUGAGUUUGGGUUUGGGAGCGGAUCCUGCAAGAUCUUUCGAAGCCGUCGGUACCUGCCUAAGGGGAGUAAGGGGUCCAGACGCCUCCCGAGACCAACAAGGCAGGUCGACCACCACCUUCUACGGCCCUACCUCAAGGACGAACUACGGCAGCUGAUCAAGGGCGAGAGCCCUCCUCAAGCGCCUGUCGAACCUUGUAGGUCUAGACCAAGGAGACCACCACGACGGCGCCGCACUACGUAGGGGACAAUGCGGCCGCCUAAGUUACCACCGAGGCCCACGCCCGCUGUACUUCCCCAACUAUAGGGUCCCUCCGGCGUACCGCUGCGAACGGUCGGUGCCGACGGAAGAGGCUGCGCCAUACGCGUCAGGUGUCUGUCCUAGUUGGGGCUUCGCGACCCAACCUGUAUCUC
Molecule: ribosomal RNA, 489 nt
Filed under: Triticum aestivum (bread wheat)
Lineage: Eukaryota; Viridiplantae; Streptophyta; Magnoliopsida; Poales; Poaceae
Description: partial small subunit ribosomal RNA
Source: RNAcentral